This 497-nucleotide ribosomal RNA is filed under the name uncultured bacterium. RNAcentral describes it as "partial 16S ribosomal RNA". It matches the Rfam family "Bacterial small subunit ribosomal RNA", at positions 28 to 507 of the family's 1533-position model. The record is from RNAcentral.
GAUGAACGCUGGCGGCGUGCCUAAUACAUGCCAGUCGAGCGAACAGACGAGGAGCUUGCUCCUCUGACGUUAGCGGCGGACGGGUGAGUAACACGUGGAUAACCUACCUAUAAGACUGGGAUAACUUCGGGAAACCGGAGCUAAUACCGGAUAAUAUAUUGAACCGCAUGGUUCAAUAGUGAAAGACGGUUUUGCUGUCACUUAUAGAUGGAUCCGCGCCGCAUUAGCUAGUUGGUAAGGUAACGGCUUACCAAGGCAACGAUGCGUAGCCGACCUGAGAGGGUGAUCGGCCACACUGGAACUGAGACACGGUCCAGACUCCUACGGGAGGCAGCAGUAGGGAAUCUUACGCAAUGGGCGAAAGCUUGACGGAGCAACGCCGCGUGAGUGAUGAAGGUCUUCGGAUCGUAAAACUCUGUUAUUAGGGAAGAACAAAUGUGUAAGUAACUAUGCACGUCUUGACGGUACCUAAUCAGAAAGCCACGGCUAACUACGUG